GCUGGGUGUGGUGGCUCACACCUGUAAUCCCAGGACUUUGGGAGGCUGAGGUGGGUGGAUCACCUGAGGUCAGGAGUUCGAGACCAGCCUGGCCAACAUGGUGAAACCCCAUCUCUG
Molecule: unclassified non-coding RNA, 117 nt
Organism: Macaca fascicularis (crab-eating macaque)
Lineage: Eukaryota; Metazoa; Chordata; Mammalia; Primates; Cercopithecidae
Rfam family: Metazoan signal recognition particle RNA
About the family: The signal recognition particle (SRP) is a universally conserved ribonucleoprotein. It is involved in the co-translational targeting of proteins to membranes.
Source: Ensembl